RNAcentral lists this ribosomal RNA (262 nucleotides) under uncultured bacterium. RNAcentral's name for it is "partial 16S ribosomal RNA". It matches the Rfam family "Bacterial small subunit ribosomal RNA", at positions 793 to 1055 of the family's 1533-position model. The record is from RNAcentral.
GUCCACGCCGUAAACGUUGGGCACUAGGUGUGGGGCCUUAUCAACGGGUUCCGUGCCGUAGCUAACGCAUUAAGUGCCCCGCCUGGGGAGUACGGCCGCAAGGCUAAAACUCAAAGGAAUUGACGGGGGCCCGCACAAGCGGCGGAGCAUGUUGCUUAAUUCGAUGCAACGCGAAGAACCUUACCUGGGUUGAACUACGCAGGAAAAGCUGCAGAGAUGUAGUGUCCGAAAGGGCCUGCGAUAGGUGGUGCAUGGCUGUCGU